This is a long non-coding RNA of Brachypodium distachyon (stiff brome), 3015 nucleotides long. RefSeq lists it as uncharacterized. The transcript is spliced from 2 exons. The record is from RefSeq and is a predicted model, not a curated record. NCBI's taxonomy places the organism in Eukaryota, Viridiplantae, Streptophyta, Magnoliopsida, Poales, Poaceae.
ACACCCCACCCACCCACCCCAACCCGUCUCAGAUAGUUGGUAAUCUCGAGUUGGUAAUUGCUUAGUAAAAUAAUUACUUUUGGUGAAACUCGUCAUCAUACUCCCUCUGGCUACGAAUUUGCAUUCCUUGUUGGGAUGUGUAGUCUGAAACUAUUGUUUGGUAGUAUUUGUAGUUCAUAGUAAAACAAUUAUACUCGGAGGAGAUGUGACUCAGACAGUAAUUGCUUGGUUCUGGUCAUUCAAAUACGUCAAGAGCUACAGGUUUGUUUCAAGAGUUUUGAACCUAAGGAUAUCUGACUCAAGACUGAAAUUGUUGAUAUUACUUAUUGUUAUUGUAAUUGUGGAGCCUAUAAGUGUGAUGCCCAUGAGUUUUAAUAAAUACUUUCCAAGGAAUUUAUAACAAAUGCAAUCUUAAAGCUUUGGGUGCUGUUCAAUUUCAGAAAUCGGUUUCCUAUGAAUGAACUUGUUAGCAGUAUUGCGAUUAUUGGCCAAUAAUGGUUGGUUCUUUGUUUAAGGUUUUUGUAAGUUUAUGGUCUCAUGGGGACAAGUAAUAUUCUAUGCUCACUAUUUCGAGUUUCCUUUUCACUGAAAGCUGCAAGUCAAGUUCUUACCAGCAGUGGUAUCGAUGUUAAUUACUUUUAAGUUCUAGGAGCUCACCAAAUGUUGUUUUCUAAGUCCGAGGCUGCAAUUGAUCAAAAAUAUUUGUCAGGUUUAUUUUUUUCAGUGCCUCCAUAUAGCAGGAAAAUUAUUAUUCGGUUUUCAAUGGAACCGUUUCUUAGGGUAAGAUUUUUCUCUGUAGUUUUAUGUAGUCCUGUAAAUGUAAUUCUCAUGUAAAGUCUGUUGAGUUAACCGUUUAAGAUAGGUCUAACACAUGUGGCUUUCGUAAGCAUUACUAUCUUAAUCCUUUAGGAUGCAACUUUUGAUGAAUGGCCUUCUUUCAUGGAUUAGUUGAUAGGCAUUACUAUCACUAACACAUGUGGCUUAUGUAUGCAUUACUAUCUUAAAUCUUUAGAACUAUCCUUUACAGUCCAGGCUGAAGCUAGAUUCAAUUCUUUGGCUUAGAAUCAAACUUUCUUUACACCAAAAGCUCAUAACUGCUGUGUGUCAGAUAAAACUUGAUGAGACUUGCUUGUGAAACCUGAUUAUGUACAUCAAGCGUGAACUAUAUUUACACGUUAAGGAAGUUUUGUGCAUUUAGCAGAGAGGCAGGUCAUGAGCAAGGAAAAGUCCACACUGAACAAGCUCCAGUGGAACUUUACAGUUCUGACGGUGUAUAUGUUCAUCAUUUUUAGAAAAUCAGGGACCCUUCCCCGGCUCCAUUUUAUUGAAAAUGAAACCAACCGACAGAGUUCAGUGCCAAAUUUAUAUGUUCAUCAUUCGAUGCAUGAAAGCUGCAAUGGGUGACAAGGAGCUGGAGAACAUGGCAUUCUUCUAUGAUGUGCUUACGCUGGUUCAGUACUCGACGUGAGUCCAUCGUGGAGUGAUACCAUGAAGCACCGCACGGGCUUAGCUGAGUUAGAAUUGUUGUACAUAUUCUUCCUCUUUUUUUGCGCAAAUGUACAUAUUCUUCCUGACUUAUUAAUCUUGCUUAGUGAGAGACCUGAUUAUUUGCAUCUGAGCUGAACCACACUCUAAAUUAUGAUGCUCACAUGCUACUUUGAUCAUGUCAUCUAAUUUCUGAAAUCUUGUUAUUUACAUCAAACCCGAAUCAAUCUUUAUAUUGUGUUUAUCACAUGCUAUGGUGAUCAGAUUAUUGCUUCCUACUUAAUGUGCAGGAUAAUUGAACACGGUAAGGCAGUCAAAGUGAAACCCUUUAUUUUAUUACUUCCGUCGAAAUACCUUAUAUUCUGUAAUAUCACUUACAUUCUGCUAAAAAUCUUUUUAAGUUUAUGCUUUUACAUAGCAUAGAAAUGAGAAUUUUGUUUCUGAAGUCCACAUGUCAGUGUACAUUAUUUGGCAUAUAUUCUCAUACUGACUUUUCUUAUGUUGAUGUAAAUGUUACAUGUGCAUUCAAAUUUUCUUGCAAGACAAACUGUUUAAACUUCUUGACAAUUCUGGAAAUAUAUGUAUAUGUCAUCAAAGGGUUUGUAAUCAAGCGAAAUCAAAUAGUAGCAGUAUUUGUGCAAGCACUCACUAACCACCACCAGUUCUGCUAUUUUGGUUAUCAUUAACUUUGUAUGCGGGAAAAUUUGAUUUUUCGAUUUGUCACUAAUUUCGUUCAUUAUUGUAUUAAAUUUAGCUUUUCCACUCGAAUAAAAUUGAAGAAUAUAGCCACUUCAAUGUUUCUCCAUAACAGUUUUUAUCUGGCAUCUCAAGUCUAUGGUAAAAAUAUAUGUCACUCUUUGCGAGAGUUCUCUGUUCUGGAAUACUUCCAUACAAUUACCUUUUACUUGUUCUGGAAUACUUCCAUGCAAUUACCUUUUACUUAUCUUCUUUAGCCUCAAGUAGGGUGCUAGCACAUCGUUACAGAAAGUGUCAAAGAACCACAUGGUUGCUAGAAUGCAUUUUUUCUUUUGCCUAAACCGUUUGCUAGGGGUAUUUGUUUGUUAAUUUAGACUGUCAUGAAUUUUUUUUAUUCCCUGGUUUGUAGCUAACAUCAUCUCAGCAAUAGGACAAUUCGGGAGCGCCUUUGUGAUAACAUAACCGUUUCAUUGUGUGCCACCAGGACAGAGGAGGGCGACUAAAAAUCGCCAAUGGCAUGGAGCUGCUUGCAGGACCUGCUUGUUGUGCUCUGAUGGCUGAACAGAGUUCGGUUCUGUUUUUUUUCUUCACCAUGUCUGGAAUAGAGACACAAGGUGUUGAUGGGUUGUGCACCGAGGGUUGGUAUUGAUUAUUGAAGCAUCUGUUGACGAACUGGGAGUCUGUUCUCAAACCAAUAUGAGCUGUUUUUGACCGGAAAAUCAAUAUGACCUUGUGCUGGGAGUCUAUUCAUUUUACAUUUUAUAUCUCUUUGAACUAUUUGACCGGAAAAUCAAUAUGAACUUUGUGUGGCGAAAGAUACGCACUGAAAUUUUA